GGAGCUUGCUCCCGGAUGUUAGCGGCGGACGGGUGAGUAACACGUGGGUAACCUGCCUGUAAGACUGGGAUAACUCCGGGAAACCGGAGCUAAUACCGGAUAGUUCCUUGAACCGCAUGGUUCAAGGAUGAAAGACGGUUUCGGCUGUCACUUACAGAUGGACCCGCGGCGCAUUAGCUAGUUGGUGAGGUAACGGCUCACCAAGGCGACGAUGCGUAGCCGACCUGAGAGGGUGAUCGGCCACACUGGGACUGAGACACGGCCCAGACUCCUACGGGAGGCAGCAGUAGGGAAUCUUCCGCAAUGGACGAAAGUCUGACGGAGCAACGCCGCGUGAGUGAUGAAGGUUUUCGGAUCGUAAAGCUCUGUUGUUAGGGAAGAACAAGUGCAAGAGUAACUGCUUGCACCUUGACGGUACCUAACCAGAAAGCCACGGCUAACUACGUGCCAGCAGCCGCGGUAAUACGUAGGUGGCAAGCGUUGUCCGGAAUUAUUGGGCGUAAAGGGCUCGCAGGCGGUUUCUUAAGUCUGAUGUGAAAGCCCCCGGCUCAACCGGGGAGGGUCAUUGGAAACUGGGAAACUUGAGUGCAGAAGAGGAGAGUGGAAUUCCACGUGUAGCGGUGAAAUGCGUAGAGAUGUGGAGGAACACCAGUGGCGAAGGCGACUCUCUGGUCUGUAACUGACGCUGAGGAGCGAAAGCGUGGGGAGCGAACAGGAUUAGAUACCCUGGUAGUCCACGCCGUAAACGAUGAGUGCUAAGUGUUAGGGGGUUUCCGCCCCUUAGUGCUGCAGCUAACGCAUUAAGCACUCCGCCUGGGGAGUACGGUCGCAAGACUGAAACUCAAAGGAAUUGACGGGGGCCCGCACAAGCGGUGGAGCAUGUGGUUUAAUUUCGAAGCAACGCGAAGAACCUUACCAGGUCUUGACAUCCUC
This 933-nucleotide ribosomal RNA is filed under the name Bacillus sp. (in: firmicutes). RNAcentral describes it as "bacterial SSU rRNA". It matches the Rfam family "Bacterial small subunit ribosomal RNA", at positions 75 to 991 of the family's 1533-position model. Lineage: Bacteria; Bacillati; Bacillota; Bacilli; Caryophanales; Bacillaceae. The record is from RNAcentral.